Molecule: long non-coding RNA, 2041 nt
Organism: Anguilla rostrata (American eel)
Lineage: Eukaryota; Metazoa; Chordata; Actinopteri; Anguilliformes; Anguillidae
Exons: 4
Source: RefSeq, a predicted model, not a curated record
GUCACCGCAAUCCAGCUCCCCCCCCCACACCCCCACUGGAAUCUCGCGAGAUGGAUGGAGUGAAUGAAAGUGGGAAAAUAACAAUACGAGACGAAAAAGGAUAAACAAGUCAACGCGAACAAAAGCACCUCCACAGCGUUGCUCUGGCAACAGGAAAAUUGCAACGCUGCAUGCAACAGCAAAUGCAGUGGUAGGAUGCAGUCCUAGAAGUCCAGGUGUGGAGUCAGGUGAUCACAGUUUUAGAGGAUAUUUUGAAGGUCUCUACACUGGGAAUUACUGACAUGUCACCUGGCUGAAAUGUCACCCGACAUCUGAUGUCAUCCGGUGUGCACCUUCUCAAGAGGAAAAUCGGCAAGAAGACACAAAGCCUAAAGGGCACCAUGUUGUUGUCUAAAAAAAACAACAACAACCAUACAACAGCCAGGAAAGGUGUGGAUUGGACGUUUCAAGCAUCAACCAAUCAGCUUUGUGAGAAACAUCAUGUUGGUGCAUGCUUGAUGCAUACAGGGUGUGCCUUUAAUCACCAUUUAGUAGGCUACAAAAUUUCCCCACAGGUUUCAGGCUUCGUUGAGGUACAAGUAUAUGGAUGACAGUAAGGUCAGUUAUAGAUUAAUCCCUAGUACACCCCCCGAAGCACUGCAGAAAACUGUACGAAAGCACAGAGCAGGAUCAGGGGUUUUUCAAGUAAAAGGAACAUGCGGCAAAGGAAAAGAAAACAUGACAAAUAAUGACAACUUGUGGAAUUAUAUGUGGAAUAAAAGCAUGGUAUCAAACAGACACACAAUUUACUUCCUUGCAUAGCACUACUUUGUGCCAGAAGAACUGCAGGAGCUAGCUCACAACCACACUCCUUUAUUCAGGAAAAUGGGAUACAGAGAAUGAAGAAUGGAACAGUGCCCUCUACUGGCUAAGCCACACUGUCAAAGAAACACUAUAUCGUCUAAUGAUAAAAACGUUUGGUUGCCAAGAAUCGAUGACAAAAAUACGACACAAAAUAAAUUUUUGAAUUUUUUUUUAAAAACCUGAUGCUUUUGCGCAGACUGAAAACAUAACCCAUGAGGAAAGUUUGUCCAUGAGGAAAAUGAUUCAAGAGUCAUUUUGACAGUAAAAUGUUCAGCAUUAAAUCAACUCUGAAAGAGUACAUUUUACUCUUUCAGGAGUACAUUUUACUGCAAUAGAGUACAUCUAAUCCCUUUUGGCCUCAUGUAAACUCUAUCAGAGCUGAAUUAACACUGAGGAUUUUACUCUGCCGGCAGUCACCGGGGAAGUGGCCAUCUCUCCCACCCUAACACCAGCAGGCUUUCUGGGAGGUUCCAUUGGCAUCGCAUUCACCGCUUUCCUCUUCCUCCAGGGCGGCGAUAUUGAGCUCGUUGUUGAGCGACACGCGCAGGAUGUCCAGCUCUUUGCGAUUGGCCUGCAGUACCAGCUCCGUCAGGCGAAAGAAGGACUAGGGAGAUGGACAAAUCAAACGCUGCACUCAUUACGAGCAGGAUGCUGUGUAAUAUGUUAAAAUAGGACAAGAGAAGAGGCAUACAAUUUAUUCUGCAGGGAAAAGAUCCCAAUGAAACUGAAAUGCUGCCUUUGGCAACGACCACUGGAUUUGGCUUCAUUUAAAGUGAGAUCCUGUAAAAUCAAGCAGAACACAGAAUGCAGUACACCCCUGUUAUGAUAUUUCCUGACAUACUGCUUAAUUUCAAAUUAAGUCAUUAAAUAGAUUAAAAGGACACGUGAUGGAUUAAAUAUUCUGCUUUUGAGUCAGUUUUAUCUUUAACCCUUUUCUGUGUGGUCUGGCCAGAUCCCACUGUAGCCUAUGCUUCAGCAGUUUCCAUGGAGAUAAUCUGGUAAAUCUUUCUUGAGAAUCCGAACAAAUAUGUUGGUACGUGAUAUGUUGGUUAAGAGAUGGCCUCAUAACAGGUUCUUUGACCAGUUUAAUUCAAUAUGGAGGAACAGCAUGAUCUAGCCAGUACACAGUUAGUUUGACAUACCUACCCACUUCCUAAUAAUUGAUUUGACUGUGCACAAAUCAAUGACUUUUUAAAAU